CAGCACACAGACCAAUGGUUCUCAUUAGACUUAGUGUUUAGACACAGGGUGGGUAGUCAACAUGUUAAACUAAACUGGCGUAAGGAAAAAAAUACUGGGGUAAAGAGGAGUGAAAGUGACAUAUUGGGUAGUGGUUACAUGCUCAGGCUUAGAAUCAGAGGAACCUGGGUGGAUAGAAUAUGACCUUGACACUCUCCUCCUUAUUCAGCUCCCAGGAUGCCAGUUCUAUAAUUCCAGACAGAAAAUGGAGAUAUUUCUCUGGAAAAUCUGACCAGCAUAAGAGGGAAGACCAGAUGAUACAGCCAUUGGAGGUCCCCGGCUGCCGUGGCCUCACUAAAUCACCCUAAAGACCAGCUUACUGUGGAUGAAUCCCACCGAAGGCUCAGAGAUUUGGUGGCAGAGGCCAGACCAAAGGACACUUCUGACAGCUCUGGGGACACCAAGAAACAGGCAUGGGUGGCAUUUUGCGAACACUGAGUUUACGGUCUUUCUCGCCAUUUCCAAGGGCCACGGCUAUCAACAAUUUGGUGAGAUAUAUCUUUGUGACCAAAGACGAAACAUUUCCUUUUUCUCCCUACCUGAUCUCUCCAGAAUUCAAAAAUUCUCAAGUAUUCUUUUCUUGACAAUAUAUACUUGACCCUUGAACAACAUGGGGGUUAGGGACACCGACCGUCCCUCCCUGCAUAGUCAAAAAUGCCCGUAUAACUUUUUACUCCUCAAAAGUGUAACUACAGGACUCCUGGGUGGCUCAGUUGGUUAGGCAUCUGCCUUCAGCUUAGGUCAUGAUCCCAGGGUCCUAGGACUGAGUCCCGCAUUGGGCUCCUUGCUUAGUGGGGAGCCUGUUUUUCCCCCUGCUUGUGCUCUUGUGCUCUCGCUCUCUCUGACAAAUAAAUAAAUAAAAUCUUAAAAAAAAAAAAAAAAAGAAAAAGUAACUACUAGUAGCCUACUACUGACCAAAAGCCUUACUGGUUAAUAUAAACAGUCGAUUAACACAUAUUUUAUGUUAUAUGUGUUCUAUACUGUAUUCUUACAGUAAAAUAACCCAGAUAAAAGAAAAUGUUAUUUAAAAAUCAUAAGGAAGAGAAAUACACUUAUUCUAUAUUUUUUGAAAAAGUCCACUUAUAAAUGGACCCACACAGUUCAAACCCAUGUUGUUUCAGGGAAACUGUUGUUAUUUAUAUAGGUUCAAUGAGAAUCUGAUCUCCUUGUAAAACAAGACACAAUUGGAAACAUUGGUUAUAUUACCAAAGCUCUGAUUAGAACAUCAUAUUUGAGAAAGUUGUGCAUAGACUCACAUAUGACCAGACAGUUUCAAGGAACUAAGGUUGACCUUAGAGAGUCCAUAAAGUCUCAGGGAAAAAUUGAGCUGGUACUUUGCUUACAAGGUUCCACCAAAGCGGUCUUAAAAAGAGCUUACAUUGAAACUAAUAAUACACUCUAUGUUAAUUAAUUGGAUUUAAAUAAAGUUAAACAUUUUUUAAAAAAGAAUUUAUGUGGUAAUCACUAUUCUUGCUUCACUUAUGUAAAUAAUCAGGCAAAGUUUAAUGCAAACAAAUUAGUUUUACUAUAAAAAAUGAAGGUAAUUGUGAGAGAAGAAAUUAUGUUUACACUUUCAUGUGGAUUAGAUUCUAAUCCUGUUAAUUGUCUUAGAGGUUCUAUUAUAUACCUGUAAAUUGGACUGGAUCCUGAAUUCUUCUAGUUUCCUAAAAAAUCUGGCUAUGACUCUUCAAACUAACACUUCCAAUUUUCUCUCACCCUUCUGAUUUGGAAUCACUAAGAACAAAGACUGCCCUUGAAUCUCUUUCGAAGGGACGACACCAGGUCCUCCUCACCACCCAGAAGGCAGCCAGUCUCCAGGGACUUAAACCUUGGAUAUGCAUCUCACAGCUGGAGAAGGCCCCACCUGACAUCUGGUGCCACACAAGUGUUAGAGACCUCCGAGUCAAAGUGACUAGGGAGAGAAGUAGUUGACGUCGAGGUAGAUCAAGACGCCAGAUCAAGACUUCUUACUUUAACUGAAUUUGAAGGCCUUUCCUCUUCUCUUUCCUUUACUCUGGUGCUGGCCUGGAAAGAUAACACCAUCCUCCACAUCUACUGGGCCACAGCUAAGGAGGGGGUAACCUCUGGAACUUAGAACAACUUUUUAUUUCAGGCUAAGAAAAGACCUAACUGACCCCUGGCUCGAAUGGGCAAACCCAACAAUCUCCGAGAAUGAAUCCACCUAACAGUGCCACCUGAUCGAGAAGCGGUUUGUGCCCCGAGAGGGUUUGUCUUUGUCCCUGGUGGUUAGAACUCUCCUUGGGCCUCCAAAGGACUAGAUAGCUGGCACACAGCCAGGAAGUGCCUUUUAGGUCAUCCAAGUGUGUCCCCAGCUUGCCAUGUAUGAACUAAGACCCCUCCUUGUACAACUCCCCUGGAUUUACAUCAUCGAGUUAGAGGAAGAAUUGAGUUAGAAAGGAAUCAUUGAUUAUUCAUGACUCGGGAUUCACUUCCUUUGGUAGAGCCACACUUCCCUGGUUAGGAGUAGAGGAAAUGUACAUCAGAAUAUGAUCAGAAACCUCUUUAACUCUUGAAGAUAUGGUAAAAUCUGUUGCCAAGACAAAGAUAAGAGCUGCCCAUCAAAGACCCUUAGAUUCUCUGGCCACAGCCGCUCUUGAUGAUAGCAUAGUCCUUAAUUAUCUUUAGCUGAGCAAGGGGAUGUCCCCACUGUGGCCAACACCACCUGUUGCACCUGGAUUAACACUUCUGGAGGAGUUGAAACUCACUUAACAUAAGAUCACUGAGCAAGCCACUUGACUUAAAAGGGUGACCCCCACAAUAGGACCUCCCUUUGACUUCUUUGAUUUUGAUUGGUUUGGACGUUGGGGACCAUGGCUCCAAAGUGCAUUCCCAAACACCAGGAAUUAAUCAUCAUAGUCUCCUUGGUCCACUGUUACCCUCUCAACAGCUUCAAAUGCAUGUUCACAGGCACUGACCACCAAGCAAAUGAUCUCCCCAAAACAGAAACACCAAAAAAGGAAUGAAGAGAAUGAGCAACUUAUAGAUUAUGAACCUGAUGUCGUGUGGCCUGUAGAAUAUCACAGAGGUUAAGCCCAAAACCACUGUGACCUGUGAAUACCACACAAAGGAUCAACAGAAUUUCACAAAAAGCCGCGAGAACUUCAGGCACUGAGAGCGGCCCUAAUGCCUUCCAUUUUGAUCGUACUGCUCAGUUAAGCUGAGACGCUGAUCAAAAGUGGGAGUUGUUUGUUUUUUUUUUUUAAAGAUGUACUUAUUUCAGAGAGAGAGAGCACGAGUGGCAGAGGGAGAGAGAGAAUCGCAAGCAGACUCAGAUGGGGCUCAAUCUGGUGACCUCGAGAUCACAAACACGAGAUCACGAUCUGAGCCUAAACCAAGAGCUGGUUGCCCAACUGACUGCACCACCCAGGCACCCCUCUUCCACCCAAAUUCUAGUAGGGGUUUGAGAAUAUUUCAGGACUAGAGGAAUGGAAGGUAAUUAAGUUAUAUAUAAUUCUAUUGUCCUGUGCUAAUUGAACUAAAAAGAAACAGGCUCUGGAGAGAUGGAAGGUGUGGCUGAGGAGUUGAGGGUAGAAGGAAGAGCUGUAAAGAGCUCAGUGGGAAUGAGUGGAUCGAGGCGAGAGGGGCUCAGCGAAUCCAGUCUGAGGGAAAGGGUUGGGGCCCAGCAGUCUGAAAACCCAGAAGACAUAGUCUUGGUAAACUGCAGUGGGAAAAGCCAUGGAGACACAACUGCCUCAGAGAAUUGUCAAUUUGGAGCCAACUGCCAGAAGAAAAGCACUCUACUUUUUCAGAGUUCAAGACCCCGAGAGAGCAGAGGGAAAGUGAAUUAAUUCAGAAACGUUAAACCUUAAGGUAAAAGGGGAAGCUAGAGGGUGAGGACCUGGCAGAAACUGCCUCGUGUAUCAGGCCCUACUUGCACGUAGGGCUCCCAGGAUACAGGACACUGGGCAAACUGGGAGGUGUUGGCCUGCCUUACUUCCGUGGUUCUAAGUACUCACCAGAAAUCUUUGAUCAUUCGAUUCUACUAUUUCAGUCAGCCUCCCAGCCUGCUGCUGGCUUCUGUUUCACCUAUCACAGACCUUGCCGUUGGUCUGCACUCUUGUCCUUUUGCUCCAGUUCAUACAGGAAAACCCAGCCCUGGAUUAACCCAUUCCCUGCAACUGGGUCUCCAGUUAAACGGAAUGAAUCAUAUAUUCAGUUAUUGCGUGGUCUCCAGCCUCACCCUCUCAGGAACAUCCUGGAGGCCGAUCAUUGUCCCACUCACUUUAAUUAAUCCAGACCCAUACAACCCUUGCUCCUUCAUGUUCAGCGUUCAAACUGGCUGCUAGUUUUCAAGUUAAUCGAAAAAAUAAUGCAGAACCCCUGUUGUCCCCCAGCCACCCAGCCCACGCACACUUUCAAAUCCGUGCACAUUUUGUUCUCUUGCUGUCUCCCUUCCUGUUGCAGCUCCACCUGUGCCCUUGGUUCCUCCUCUCCUCCUCUGGGAUCUUGUGCCAUUAUUCACUCCUUCCUCUCUCUGACUCUACAAGAUCCCUUCUUCUCUGCCUAUU
This is a long non-coding RNA of Ailuropoda melanoleuca (giant panda), 4568 nucleotides long. RefSeq lists it as uncharacterized. The record is from RefSeq and is a predicted model, not a curated record. The transcript is spliced from 3 exons. NCBI's taxonomy places the organism in Eukaryota, Metazoa, Chordata, Mammalia, Carnivora, Ursidae.